This 253-nucleotide ribosomal RNA is filed under the name uncultured bacterium. Its description in RNAcentral is "partial 16S ribosomal RNA". It matches the Rfam family "Bacterial small subunit ribosomal RNA", at positions 524 to 776 of the family's 1533-position model. The record is from RNAcentral.
UACAGAGGUCUCAAGCGUUGUUCGGAUUCAUUGGGCGUAAAGAGCGUGUAGGCGGCCAGGUAGGUCUGCUGUGAAAACUCGAGGCUUAACCUCGAGAUGUCGGCGGAAACCAUCUGGCUAGAGUCCGGAAGAGGAGAAUGGAAUUCCCGGUGUAGCGGUGAAAUGCGCAGAUAUCGGGAAGAACACCCGUGGCGAAGGCGGUUCUCUGGGACGGUACUGACGCUGAGACGCGAAAGCGUGGGGAGCGAACAGG